GUGUUUCCGCCCAGAGCUGGAGUCUCCCAGCUGCCAGCCGACCCCGAACCCGCACUCCCGCCAACCGCGCUUUUUGUGGGCGGUCGGAAACCACAGCCUCCGUUGGAUAUGUUCGGUGCAUGUUAUAAACAACCACUUAAACCCUCCGGAUCUGAGCCUCCCGCAGAGGAAUGCAGAAUGACGCCACGGCACGCAGGAUGUGAUGUCACCGAGAUGCAGAGGAUACUCAGUCAACCAACAUUUACUGAGCAUCUACUUCGUGCCGUAUGUACGAAGCUAGCAAAUAUGUACAGCACCAGUACUGAUUGCAGGGAGCACUGUAGAAGAGGAAUGAAGGCCAAACAAUUAAAAGCGGAGGCGGGGAGGUCUUGUCAACGGAAAGGGGUCCCUAUCCAGACCCCAAGAGAGCAUUCUUGGAUCUCUUGCAAGAAAGAAUUUGAGGCGAAUCCAUAGAGUAAGAUGGAGUUUUGCUCUUGUUGCCCAGGUUGGAGUGCAGUGGUGUGAUCUUGACUCACUGAAACCUCCGCCUCCUGAGUUCAAG
RNAcentral lists this long non-coding RNA (541 nucleotides) under Homo sapiens (human). RNAcentral describes it as "ANKRD13C divergent transcript". Lineage: Eukaryota; Metazoa; Chordata; Mammalia; Primates; Hominidae. The record is from RNAcentral.